This 1889-nucleotide long non-coding RNA is filed under the name Salmo salar (Atlantic salmon). RNAcentral describes it as "lncRNA (ENSSSAG00000115179.1)". The record is from RNAcentral. Lineage: Eukaryota; Metazoa; Chordata; Actinopteri; Salmoniformes; Salmonidae.
CAACUGUGAAUUCAUGUAGGCCUAUAAUCAUUUUAAACAGGCCUACAAACCCCAAAGGUUUUAAUUUGAGAAUCUUCAUUUGUUGGCCUCAAAUAUUAAACUGUCUUAAAAUAUUUGAUGAUUAGUUGAAUCAGGUGUGUAAGUGCUGGUCAGAACAACAGGAUGAGAAACCCUGAGAUAAACAUUAAACCAUAUAAUGUAAAAGCUCCUCCGCCAUCUUUACCAGACGUUUUACUGAUAACAUGUAGACCUACUGAUUAGUUUCCACUUUGAAAACUGCUGUCUGUCAGCAACUCAGCUCAAGUAGCAGUUCUACUAACUAGUAACAUCUCAUUACAGAUAUUCAUUAUCUUACUCUGUCCUUUAGAAUGAAUUAUUGUUCAGAAAUACUUACUUAUUUGUCAGUAAUCUCCAUAUAGCGUCUUCUGCUCUGUCGUCUCAAAAUGGAUCCUGAACAAAAGAACAACUUUACUUUCUGUUUCACUCAGCCGUCUCCCCACCCUGAAAAUAAAGUGUUUUAUUGGUAUCAUCCACUAGAUGGCAGUAAACACCUGCUGUAACUACACUUUACAACUAUGUGUUCGGUUUCAUACAGGCAGUGUCCCAGAGUUAGAUUGCUGAUCUAGGAUCAGGUCCCCCUCUCCAUGUAAUCUGAUUCAUUAUGAUCUAGGAUCAGGUCCUCCUCUCCAUGUAAUCUGAUUCAUUAUGAUCUAGGAUCAGGUCCUCCUCUCCAUGUAAUCUGAUUCAUUAUGAUCUAGGAUCAGGUCCUCCUCUCCAUGUAAUCUGAUUCAUUAUGAUCUAGGAUCAGGUCCUCCUCUCCAUGUAAUCUGAUUCAUUAUGAUCUAGGAUCAGGUCCCCCUCUCCAUGUAAUCUGAUUCAUUAUGAUCUAGGAUCAGGUCCCCCCUCUCCAUGUAAUCUGAUUCAUUAUGAUCUAGGAUCAUGUCCCCCCUCUCCAUGUAAUCUGAUUCAUUAUGAUCUAGGAUCAGGUCCCCCCUCUCCAUGUAAUCUGAUUCAUUAUGAUCUAGGAUCAUGUCACCCCUCUCCAUGUAAUCUGAUUCAUUAUGAUCUAGGAUCAGGUCCCCCCUCUCCAUGUAAUCUGAUUCAUUAUGAUCUAGGAUCAGGUCCCCCCUCUCCAUGUAAUCUGAUUCAUUAUGAUCUAGGAUCAGGUCCCCCCUCUCCAUGUAAUCUGAUUCAUUAUGAUCUAGGAUCAGGUCCCCCCUCUCCAUGUAAUCUGAUUCAUUAUGAUCUAGGAUCAGGUCCCCCCUCUCCAUGUAAUCUGAUUCAUUAUGAUCUAGGAUCAGGCCCCCCCUCUCCAUGUAAUCUGAUUCAUUAUGAUCUAGGAUCAGGUCCUCCUCUCUCCAUGUAAUCUGAUUCAUUAUGAUCUAGGAUCAGGUCCCCUCCUCUCCAUGUAAUCUGAUUCAUUAUGAUCUAGGAUCAGGUCCCCCUCUCCAUGUAAUCUGAUUCAUUAUAAUCUAGGAUCAGGUCCUCCUCUCCAUGUAAUCUGAUUCAUUAUGAUAUAGGAUCAGGUCCUCCUCUCCAUAUAAUCUGAUUCAUUAUGAUCUAGGAUCAGGCCCCCCCUCUCCAUGUAAUCUGAUUCAUUAUGAUCUAGGAUCAGGUCCCCCCCUCUCCAUGUAAUCUGAUUCAUUAUGAUAUAGGAUCAGGUCCCUCCUCUCCAUGUAAUCUGAUUCAUUAUGAUCUAGGAUCAGGUCCCCCUCUCCAUGUAACCUGAUUCAUUAUGAUCUAGGAUCAGGUCCUCCUCUCCAUGUAAUCUGAUUCAUUAUGAUCUAGGAUCAGGUCCCCCCUCUCCAUGUAAUCUGAUUCAUUAUGAUAUAGGAUCAGGUCCCCCCUCUCCAUGUAAUCUGAUUCAUUAUGAUCUAGGAUCAGGUCCC